GACGAACGCUGGCGGCGUGGAUUAGGCAUGCAAGUCGAACGGUAUCAUCCUUUCGGGGGUGAGAGAGUGGCGAACUGGUGAGUAACACGUAGGUUAUCUACCCUCAAGACGGGGACAACCCAGGGAAACUUGGGCUAAUACCGGAUGUGAGCAACUUUUAGUUGUUUGAAAGGUGGCGUAAGCUGUCGCUUGGGGAUGAGCCUGCGUCCUAUUAGUUAGUUGGUGAGGUAACGGCUCACCUAGGCAAUGAUAGGUAGGCGGCCUUAACGGGUGGUCGCCCACACUGGGAUUGAGAUACGGCCCAGACUCCUACGGGAGGCAGCAGUCGAGAAUAGUCUACAAUGGUCGGAAGACUGAUAGUGCGACGCCGCGUGAGCGAAGAAGGCCUUCGGGUUGUAAAGCUCUGUCUGGAGGGACGAAGGAAGUGACGGUACCUCCGGAGGAAGCCACGGCUAACUACGUGCCAGCAGCCGCGGUAAAAUCAACGUGUA
Molecule: ribosomal RNA, 491 nt
Filed under: uncultured bacterium
Lineage: Bacteria
Description: bacterial SSU rRNA
Rfam family: Bacterial small subunit ribosomal RNA
Source: RNAcentral